This 497-nucleotide ribosomal RNA is filed under the name uncultured bacterium. Its description in RNAcentral is "partial 16S ribosomal RNA". It matches the Rfam family "Bacterial small subunit ribosomal RNA", at positions 28 to 507 of the family's 1533-position model. The record is from RNAcentral.
GACGAACGCUGGCGGCGUGCCUAAUACAUGCAAGUUGAGCGAUGAAGAUUGGUGCUUGCCCCAAUUUGAAGAGCAGCGAACGGGUGAGUAACGCGUGGGGAAUCUGCCUUUGAGCGGGGGACAACAUUUGGAAACGAAUGCUAAUACCGCAUAACAACUUUAAACAUAAGUUUUAAGUUUGAAAGAUGCAAUUGCAUCACUCAAAGAUGAUCCCGCGUUGUAUUAGCUAGUUGGUGAGGUAAAGGCUCACCAAGGCGAUGAUACAUAGCCGACCUGAGAGGGUGAUCGGCCACAGUGGGACUGAGACACGGCCCAAACUCCUACGGGAGGCAGCAGUAGGGAAUCUUCGGCAAUGGACGAAAGUCUGACCGAGCAACGCCGCGUGAGUGAAGAAGGUUUUCGGAUCGUAAAACUCUGUUGGUAGAGAAGAACGUUGGUGAGAGUGGAAAGCUCAUAAAGUGACGGUAACUACCCAGAAAGGGACGGCUAACUACGUG